AAAGAAAGAAAGAAGAGUUCAAUUUUAGAAAUAGUAACUUUUGAUUAUCUCUGACAAUGUAGGCAGACUGAUAUUUGGGUACCAUCAGCAUCUGGAUAUGUUUAGUUCAGAUUUUCAUCACUAUAAUAAAUAGCAAGGAUGAUCUGUUCUGGCCAAUCUCUUGACUGAGACUCCCUUCUCAGAUGACUGAAGGCCAUGUCAAAGUGACAGUUAGUGCUAACUAGGACAGAUAGGGAUACAGACAAGCAGCAUAAUAGGAACCAUGGAUGUACAAGAAAAUAUAGAAGCCUCAUUCUUCUCAUUUUAGGUCUGGUUUUGGCACCUAUGGAAAGAGUUGCUCAAUUGACUGACCCAUGAUAGAGUCAUGGACCAAAUCCUCUUUUUACGUUCUCAGAAACAUAAGCUGAAAAGUACUGCAUUCUUCCACUCUGAGACAGGCCUAGCCAGAUGUCUCUUUCUCCACAUCUAGAACAACCCUGGAAGGACUUGUAGUCUUCCACCUUGACCUUGUUUGGGGUGGGGUCUCUUGUUCGCUGAUGCUGGUCUGUGAGCUUCUGUGGGUUCUAUUGUUACCACCUCCUCUUCAUCUUAGGGAUGCUGGAAUUACAAAUGAAUGUUACUGUGUCUAGAUUUAUGUGGAUGCUGGGGCUCAGACUUGGGUUCAGUCAUGACAAGUAGUAAGGCAAAUUUGUUGUCUCUAUGACACCAGAGUUACCUCUAAGACCUUUCAUGAGGGAACCCCAUGGUGACAGGGCACUAGGAUUCUCCCCACACAGACCACAGUGGCUCCCUCAAGAACUUUUCUGAGUGGAGACUAGCUGGGUCCUGAAGUGGGGCUUCAAGACCAGUCCCUUGAGAUCUAUACUGGUGUGGUGUGGCCCUAGAGCUCUCAACAGGAGGAGGUGCAACUUAAGAUAGAAGGUGGAAAUGAAGUCCUACAUUUGUAAGGCAUUCACUUAGGCACCACGGGGCACUAACGAGGCUGCAAGUGGGGACCACUGGGCUAGGCUGGAGGGUGCUGCCUCCCCAGUGUCUCUCAGCCAUUGUGAUCCCCCAGCCCCAGCAAAACUCCCUUCUUUGCUGAGAUUUUUGCUCUUCGGUCAGGUGUCUUAGAACAUCACUGUCGUACUAGCAUGUUAUCCAGGAGAUGCCCCCCACCAUCUCCAAAAAACUGACAUUCUUUAUUACAUUCAAUUAUUUGUUUAGGGGACAUGUAUCUGCCACAGCAUGUAUGUGAAGAUCAGGGAAUAAUUUGCAGGAAUUGGUUCUCUCCUUUUAUCACAUGGGUCUCAGGGACUGAACACAGGUCAUUAGGUUUGGCAGAAACACCUAGCUGAGUUACCCCACCAAAAGCUUAUUCUUUCUUUUGAUUGACUAUUUGCACUCCUGAAGCAAGAACACUUGAAAAAAACCCAAACAUAUGAUGUGCAAGAAAGUAAUGUGUGUGUGUGUGUGUGUGUGUGUGUGUGUGUGUGUGUGGGUGUGUGUGUGUGUACCUAUGCCUGUGUGCAGUUAUGGUUGCAUGCAUUGUCACAGAAACAGAUUAAAUAUUCAGGCAAGUGCGUUAUAGAUUCUAAAUGGUGGAAUAUUAGACAGCACUAUGGGGAAUGAUUGCAGUAGAUGACAAGGACCGAAUACCGGAGAGUAUGCAGGCUCUGUCCUCAGCUAACAUUCUGUACUAUUCACAUCCAAUCAAACCAGACACACCCACUAUGUGUCAGGCACAGCCAGAGGUGUUCUCAUGUGCCUUCCUCACCAACGUUCCAAACCAGCACCAUGACUCAUGUAGACAGGUCCAAACUGAGGGUCAGAGUUGGAGUCUGCAGAAAGAAGCCAUGAGCCGGGCAGAGGUUUAAGUUACAGGAUCUGUAUGAGUCUGUUCUAAUAUGAGAAUCCAUAACCCAGCUACAGCUCUCACGUGAAUUUCAUUCAUCCAUCCCUGGGAACAUGUUCCGCUCACUGUUCUCUGAAUUUCUCACUCUUCAGAUAGCAAAGCAACUCUCAGUCCAUAGACGAUGCAGAAGAGUGGGAGUCAGCUGAAUUAAGCAGGCAAUCUGAAAACAGUGGCUGAAAACAAGAAGAUGUAACAGGGCAGAGAGUAUGGUAGGUCUUCCUUUCCAGUGGCUGCUGUCUUUUGUACCACCUUUUAGAGGAAGCCCAAGCCUAUAGAAUGUACUCCAAGAGGGACCAUCUUUAAUGUCCAUUUGAUGCAAAUGAUUCUGGGACACAUAUAGGCAUUCAUAUAUCCUUUCAUACUUGACUGCAUUUAUGUGGAAAGUUCUUCCUGGAGAAAUUGCUUUGUCAGAGGACAUGAGAAUUUCCUAUGUUGGCAGAUCUUUCCAUGGGAUUGAAAGUUGAAUCCUCCCACCGAAAGGUGUAUGUGUGAGGCUUCAGACUGUUCACAUCGUGGCUUAAAUAUGUGGUAGUAGGCUGCUAAGAACCCACGUUGGUCCCAGUGGCACAAACCAAGGCAGAUCAUGUCUCUUAUGGAGGCUCCAGUUACCUCAGCUGAGUAAAGGCAACAGCACCCCCCAAAAGCAGCUACAUGGCUUCUAUAAAGACGGAACCAGAAGCAGCCAGCACUCUUCUGUCAGCUGUGAAGCUUUCUGGACGUGCUGCUCAAGGCCAGCAAGAGGGCUUUGCCUUCCUCAAGCUCACUUCUGCUCUGUGGGAGACAUGAUGGUCUCCAGCAUGCUCACCAAGAGGAAAAUGGACACGGGAAGGAGUUCCACCUUGGAAAGGACUUGCAGCAAAGCUGGUGUCACCCUUGGUCCUUCAGGCUGAGACAAGUCAGCAAGAGCUGAGGCUGCUCAUGAAGGUCUCCUCCUUCUUUAACAAAGCACAGGCUGUUUGCUGAUCUUGGACAGUUGUCUUGAGAACAGAGUUGGAUGGUGGAGGCUUCCUGAAAUUCCAGUGGUGGAUUUCAAAGAAUGUCUGCUGAGGAGCCCUGGUCUUGGAGGCCUGUGGAGCCUCAGAGGCACCAUACCAAGGGAAUGCUCAGAAAGGAUCUCUUCUUCCAAUGGGAAGGAUGGGUGGAAACCUAGAGCUCAUUUGUAGUGUGACCUUCAGCCAGUCUUAACCACAGCUUGCUGAUUGAUGCUUACGUGCAAGUUUCUUGAUGGCCUCCAGCUAACCUCAUGCCAGAUACAUCCCUUUGAGAUCCCUGGUGGUGAGUUUCCCACCAGAAUGGCAUAAUGCAGAAUAUCCACUUAUUUCUUUGAGAUAUUUUGAAUGUUUUAUUAUCUCAUGCUUGUUUGAUGAUGGAUUUUUUUUUUUUUUUUACUCUAAGGCUAGGGAUACAUAAUUAAACAGCUUAGUAUUCUACAAGACCGUCCAUUACAUUUUGAAAGAAAAAGCUUUUGCCAGUCUCUGAAUAUGCUCAUGUUGGCUCUGAAUCAUUAAAUGGGAGUUGUAACAUGACUGUCCAGACACUGAAAAUAUGCAUUUAUUUCCAUUUCCUCAGAAUAUAUAUGUCUUCAUCAUGCAUCUAUCAAAGCAAAUCACUAUAUAUUCUUCAUCUACUGGAAAAUCCUGGAUGGCAAGUCUUAAAAUCACCAGAGAAGCUUAGAGUUUUGUGCUUUGUUUUUAUUUGUAACUGUUCUGUAUCAGCUCAGCACACUUUUACCUAAUAUACAUGAGUCUGUUCCAUGGAUCAGGAUACACAUUAGACAAGGAAACCCCAUAUCCCUAUAUCCAUAACACUCUUAGAACCUCAAGUUGCUCGAGCACAGACUGUUUUGGGGUACCAUUCUUUCCUCUGAUGGGUGAGACAGUGCAGAUUCACUCUCAUAGAGGAGGAGGGAAGGUUGGGGCCUAUACCUUAUAACACUGUGAAUUCAGAACACACAGUGAUGUCAAAUGUUCUCCAUGACUCCUAGGGAACAGAUGAAUAAAAUCCGGGUGAGAAAGGAUGUGAAUAUGAGUGAAGAGAAACAGGAAGAAAAGGCGAAGUCAGAAGAAAGACGGCUGGAAGGGAUUAAGAAAGAGUGAGGCAGAUCUUCCUUUCCCUUGGUUUAUGUCUAGACUCUCUCAGUUCAUCUUACAGACACACAACACAGAUAACUUCAAGCAGCACAGGGCAGGCACAACCUCCAACCCCCACCAACAUCAUCAGCCCACUAUGGAAGAGCUUAGGGCCUCAGGCUGAGACUUGAAUGGAUGCAGGUACACACAUGCCAUGUGGGAAGGUCAGAGGACAACUUGGGUGAGGCAGUUCUCUUCUACCACACGGGUCCUUCAGACGCAGAUCAUGGAGUUUAGUAUAACAGAAAAUACACUGACCUUUUCCAAAUGAAGCACACAGUGAAUCCAGGGUGUCUCUGGACCGCCUCAUCACAGUACAUCAUAGGACCUCACAGAAGCCUUGGUUCUGAAUAUGCACACCUAGCCCUGCGCAUGCCGGCACGCCUGAAGAACCUCUGCCGAGAUUGGUGAGUAUGGCAUGCCGUGAGGUGCCAUGUUUUUACUGAAUAUACAAAGUUUUCUGCUCACACAGAAGCAUAAUGCUUUAGCUACAGAAGGCAAAGACGUUAAUAUUUCCAUGCGCUUAUUCCUCGGUGUCUAAGUAUUGAGUUAGUGCAUCUUCCAACUGCAUUGUGUUAGCCACCUUGAUUUUUAAAAAUUGCCAUUUGAUUUCUGACUUUAAUUUCAUUGAAAAUAUCAUUCAGCUAAUUAGGGCCAUGUAAAACAGAAUUCCCAGCAAUUCCUGAUGAGACCAUUACAUACUUCUGCAAUUGUGUGCUUCAUAUUUAUGCAAGGAACCAUUCUCAGUACUGACAGUUAUAAAAUCAAAGUACCUAUCAACUGAAAAACGUUGAAGAGGCCCUGUGUCCUAUAGUGUCAAUCAUUCAGCCAAGACUUAAUUUUGUUAUGUAAAAAUAAAUAAGCAUUUUCAUCUCAUUUGUAUGUAGUUCUUUUCCUUGUUGACAAAUGGUAAAACUCAAUUUGUAUGAAAGGAGUGGUGCAACAUGAAUAAAUU
Mus musculus (house mouse) is the source of this 4978-nucleotide long non-coding RNA. RefSeq annotates it as predicted gene, 34194. The transcript is spliced from 7 exons. Lineage: Eukaryota; Metazoa; Chordata; Mammalia; Rodentia; Muridae. The record is from RefSeq and is a predicted model, not a curated record.